This 395-nucleotide unclassified non-coding RNA is filed under the name soil metagenome. RNAcentral describes it as "partial contains 5.8S ribosomal RNA, internal transcribed spacer 2, and large subunit ribosomal RNA". The stretch from base 1 to 122 matches the Rfam family "5.8S ribosomal RNA", at positions 35 to 154 of the family's 154-position model. The record is from RNAcentral.
GAUGAAGAACGGAGUGAAAUGCGAUACUUGGUGUGAAUUGCAGAAUCCCGUGAACCAUCGAGUCUUUGAACGCAAGUUGCGCCCGAAGCCAUCAGGUUGAGGGCACGUCUGCCUGGGCGUCACAUAUCGUUGCCCAAUGCCUAUUGCAGUGCAAUAGGAAUUUCUAGGGCGAAUGAUGGCUUCCCGUGAGCGUUGUUGCCUCGCGGUUGGUUGAAAAUCGAGUCCUUGGUAGGGUGUGCCAUGGUAGAUGGUGGUCGAGUUAGAACGAUACCGAUCAUGUGCAUGCUCCCCAAAAUAUGGCCUCUAUGACCCACACGCGUCUUUUGACGCUCAUGACGAGACCUCAGGUCAGGCGGGGCUACCCGCUGAAUUUAAGCAUAUCAAUAAGCGGAGGA